This is a non-coding RNA of Pelobates cultripes (western spadefoot toad), 168 nucleotides long. NCBI's taxonomy places the organism in Eukaryota, Metazoa, Chordata, Amphibia, Anura, Pelobatidae. The record is from the annotation of a GenBank genome assembly.
GCAGACACAUUCCAGCCAAUCAGCAGCAGACACUCCCUCCCAGACCCUCCCACCUCCUGGACAGCUCACUAAGAAUGCAGCUUCACAAUGAAUGUAAAAUGGAUGCUGUCCAGGAGGUGGGAGGGUCUGGGAGGGAGGGUCUGCUGCUGAUUGGCUGGAAUGUGUCUG